CUGGAACUCCAAGAGUCACUAACAGAACCUAGAGACUUCUGAAGGUUCUUGGCAUCUUUCUCUAACGCCUUCAACAGCUGAGCAGGAACUUCUUGUGGCUGACUGACAACAAUGCGAUCCACACACUCCAAUUCCUGACUCACCACAGUGGACAGAUCUUUUAAUUCCCUGUCUAGCACCUGAGGAAACAGAGCAGCUGACAUGUAGAAGUAAUGUGCCUCAAGGGAAAACUACCAAAAGGAUGACUCUUUCCAUUCAAAUUCUAAGGAGAAAGAACCAAAGAAUAUAAAAAGACCCGAAAAUAGUCUUCCCACCCAGCUGUUCUAUAAUAUUCUUACUUCUCAAUAGAGAAGCCAGCAGUGGCAGAGGAAGAGUAUAACUGUUUUGGGGGGGCAUAGCCUCACUAACCAGUCAGCCAUCUAUUUAUACCGCAUACUGAACAUUGAAAAAUGAGACAGACUUCUGCAGGCUCGAUUGUCUUCACCUUCAUCUUCAAUCUCAGUCUUUUCCUUCAGUUUCUGUAAGGCAGUGUUUCCUGGUGUUCUUUGAACAACUGAAAUAGGACUGGGGAUAUGCGUCAGUAGGUAAGUAAGAGCACUUGUUUGAGGAAGCAUGAAGGCCUGAGUUCAAAUCCUAUAGUCCCAUAUAAAAAGCUGGGCAUGGCAUGAACACAUGCAACCCUAGUAUUGCAGAGAGAUGAAGAGGAUUGCUGGGGUUUGCUGGUCGGCAUCCUAGUUCCAGGUUCAGUGAAAGACCUUUCUGAAGGGUGUAAGAUGAAGGAUGAUAAAGCGGGACAAUGAAAUAAAUCUCUGUGGCCCACUUGUGAGUACACUCAGGUGUAUAUACCC
This is a long non-coding RNA of Mastomys coucha (southern multimammate mouse), 848 nucleotides long. RefSeq lists it as uncharacterized. The record is from RefSeq and is a predicted model, not a curated record. NCBI's taxonomy places the organism in Eukaryota, Metazoa, Chordata, Mammalia, Rodentia, Muridae. The transcript has 3 exons.